This is a long non-coding RNA of Brassica napus (rape), 705 nucleotides long. RefSeq lists it as uncharacterized. NCBI's taxonomy places the organism in Eukaryota, Viridiplantae, Streptophyta, Magnoliopsida, Brassicales, Brassicaceae. The transcript has 3 exons. The record is from RefSeq and is a predicted model, not a curated record.
GAUGAUGAGUGGGGUAUAAUUAAGUUCACUUUUCUCUGUUGCUUUUAGUUUCCCUGAAAAAAGCGAUUCAAUUUCAUUUAUCCGACUCAAAAUCGACUCAUGUAAUGGGUUCUUGAAUCAAGCUUCAAGCUUUGAAACCCUAGAUUUCAUUUAUCCGACUUCGAAAAUUUGCAAGCUUUUGUUGACCCACUAGUACAAAAUCUCUGCUUUGUGAUUUUCUUACAAGAAAAAAACAGAAUACUGACUGGUUUGUGAUUCCAAGCUUGGAGACUGUACAAGAGAAUGCUAAUGAUGAUUCAGAAGCUGAUACAUCUUCUCCUCAAUUCAGUGAUUAAAGCUGAAGAAAACAUCUACCUAGGACCACAUGGAGGAGCUUCUCCGUCGCAGCUACAAGACGGCAACGUAUCGAGCAGGAAGCAGCGGUUUAAGCAGAAGCUCAAGGAAGCAGACCAGAAAAUGAAUUUGUCUGGUCGGGAAAACAAAGUGGCUAACUUAAGGGAGCUUGUAGGCGGCGUUGAGAAAGGAACUAACGUGUCAAAAGGUGUCUCAAGAGACUGGCUUGACCCACAUUGCCAUGAGUCUGAGUUUGAGAAACGUCGACAACUGUAACGCCCUUUUUCUCUUUGUAAACGUUUUGUGUCAAUAUCCAGAGAUUUCAAUGCAAUUGAAACAGUUACCAUUAUCAUCAGCUAUCCUUUGAGCGAA